Cinara cedri is the source of this 271-nucleotide non-coding RNA. NCBI's taxonomy places the organism in Eukaryota, Metazoa, Arthropoda, Insecta, Hemiptera, Aphididae. The record is from the annotation of a GenBank genome assembly.
AUACGCGAGUUCUACGCAGUCAAUCUAAAGUCGAUUUGUUGAACUGAGACAGCACAUGCGGGUAUAGCGUCCUCUUAAGGUUAUUAGUUUUGUUUUUCUUUUAUUGUGGUAAAGGCAUCAACAAAACUAAUACCGUUGUAUCGUCAUUUAUUAACAGUUUUUUAAUUUUUAUGUCGAUCUGUCGGGUAUCUUUAAACAUUUUAAAAAUAAAGUAUCACUAAUUGGACAAACUCGCAUCUUCCAUAGUACAAAGUAAACAAUUCGGAUCAUU